Molecule: ribosomal RNA, 497 nt
Filed under: uncultured bacterium
Lineage: Bacteria
Description: partial 16S ribosomal RNA
Rfam family: Bacterial small subunit ribosomal RNA
Source: RNAcentral
GACGAACGCUGGCGGCGUGCCUAAUACAUGCAAGUAGAACGCUGAAGCGAGGAGCUUACUCUUCUUGGAUGAGUUGCGAACGGGUGAGUAACGCGUAGGUAACCUGCCUUGUAGCGGGGGAUAACUAUUGGAAACGAUAGCUAAUACCGCAUAACAAUGGAUGACACAUGUCAUUUAUUUGAAAGGGGCAAUUGCUCCACUACAAGAUGGACCUGCGUUGUAUUAGCUAGUAGGUGAGGUAAUGGCUCACCUAGGCGACGAUACAUAGCCGACCUGAGAGGGUGAUCGGCCACACUGGGACGGGGACACGGCCCAGACUCCUACGGGAGGCAGCAGUAGGGAAUCUUCGGCAAUGGGGGCAACCCUGACCGAGCAACGCCGCGUGAGUGAAGAAGGUUGUCGGAUCGUAAAGCUCUGUUGUAAGUCAAGAACGGGUGUGAGAGUGGAAAGUUCACACUGUGACGGUAGCUUACCAGAAAGGGACGGCUAACUACGUG